CGUAGGGAGCAAGCGUUGUUCGGAUUUACUGGGCGUAAAGGGCGCGUAGGCGGCGCGACAAGUCACUUGUGAAAUCUCCGGGCUUAACUCGGAACGGUCAAGUGAAACUGUCAUGCUAGAGUGCAGAAGGGGCAAUCGGAAUUCUUGGUGUAGCGGUGAAAUGCGUAGAUAUCAAGAGGAACACCUGAGGUGAAGACGGGUUGCUGGGCUGACACUGACGCUGAGGCGCGAAAGCCAGGGGAGCAAACGGGAUUAGAUACCCCGGUAGUCCUGGCCCUAAACGAUGAAUACUUGGUGUCUGGAGUUAUUAUCGCUCCGGGUGCCGUCGCUAACGUUUUAAGUAUUCCGCCUGGGGAGUACGCACGCAAGUGUG
RNAcentral lists this ribosomal RNA (373 nucleotides) under uncultured organism. RNAcentral describes it as "bacterial SSU rRNA". It matches the Rfam family "Bacterial small subunit ribosomal RNA", at positions 526 to 896 of the family's 1533-position model. The record is from RNAcentral.